Drosophila guanche is the source of this 1550-nucleotide long non-coding RNA. RefSeq lists it as uncharacterized. The transcript has 3 exons. NCBI's taxonomy places the organism in Eukaryota, Metazoa, Arthropoda, Insecta, Diptera, Drosophilidae. The record is from RefSeq and is a predicted model, not a curated record.
GAACACAGGGAUACAUAUGUAUGUACAUACUGAUGAAGUGGACGAGGAGGGGAAGGGGACUGGCCUCUUGGAAUUUAUCGCACGUUAUGCCUGAUGCUGAGAGUUGUAAUUUUUCAUGAAGAACCCCGGGACCAGGAGCCGUACGACACGCAGCCGGGGCGGGGGGCGAGCAUCUACAUACCUGGAAGAUGGAGAUGAAGCGACAAUGCCCGACAGCAUGUCUGACAAACGGUACACUGGGUAGCAGGCAGGCAGCAAGCAAGCGCACACACCCGACAAAAGUUUCAAAAGAGAUUUGCGGAACAAGCAAAUGUCUCGAACAUCGACAGCAAUUUUCCAUUUCACAAAGGACACUUUGGUCGCCUGUGCGCAUAUGGAAGAUGAAACGGUGAAUAAAUACGAGUAUGUGUUAGCGCCUGUACGACAAACUUCAUGAAAAGGAUAAGCCGGGGGCGUUGCGGAGCGAAGAACCAGCGCACAACUCCACCCGCGCACACAUAAUGCAAGAUUAAUUUCUAAUGUCGUUAUAAAUAAAAGCUCGCGUAUUUUAUAGCCUCACCCACUCCAGCAGCAGGCCCACUGAGCUCCCCAACCUUAUUCGACAAAUGGCAGCGGGUUUUUUCUGCUGGACAUCCAUGUGAAGGGUUGUCGCUGGACUGGUCUGUUCUGUGACUUAUAAACGGCCAACAGCAGCGCUCUCUCUCUCUCUCUCUCUCUCUGCCAGGAAGAAUAAUGUUUCAUUUUAUGUCCCUCGAAUGUAAUUCGCGGAUGGCAUGCGGUUUGUUCGCAUAAUCUGAUUUGGAGAAACACAAAGCGAGAGAGAUGCGCGAAAGAUUGAAAACCCCAUUCAAAUAUGACUAUUACAUUUAAUGGCACAGCAGACAUUCUUUCUUCUCUUCACUUUGGUGUGAGACGGCACCCAAAUUGGAAUACCAAAUGGGACGCAAUCAUUUGCUGAUUAAAGCGCAGAUGGAAGAUUUGAAAUAAAACCAACCCAACCCAACCCAACCACUAGGUGAACAUAAUUGCCAAUAUUAACGAUUUAUUUACUCCUUUUUCUCGCAGAAGGAUCACACAAUGGAGAGCGUUUGUUCUGGUUUUUCUGUUUCAUUGAACACCUCGGAGCUGACAAGUGUCCGCGGCACACGCUGGAAUAAUCACCAUUUACGAACCCGAGUCACAAGCUAGAUGAUUAACUAAACCACAAAACAAAUGAGGCACAGCCCACAAAUGACUCGCGCUGCGGUCGGUUGCUUGCACUGAUCGAUGGUGUGCGGAUGCAGAGCAGGUAGCGCAGACCACCCCGGCACCCAGGUGGGUGCCUCUCCUUUCUGCUUGCCAAUGUUCAGUGUUGACAACUGUGUUGGAAGGUGUGACACAAACAAAGGUGUGAACACAGUGUUAUUGCACUUGGAAAUGACACGACCUUAAUUUAUAAUUAAUGUUAAGAUUAGUCUUAGGCUAAAGAUGGUUUUAGGUCCAAAAGGGAUCAGGCAUUGGUCCAACCUCACAACCCACAAACACACACAUUUUGGUUGUCCGAAAACAAU